UACGUAGGGUGCGAGCGUUGUCCGGAAUUAUUGGGCGUAAAGGGCUCGUAGGCGGUUUGUCGCGUCGGGAGUGAAAACACUGGGCUUAACUCAGUGCUUGCUUCCGAUACGGGCAGACUAGAGGUAUGCAGGGGAGAACGGAAUUCCUGGUGCAGCGGUGAAAUGCGCAGAUAUCAGGAGGAACACCGGUGGCGAAGGCGGUUCUCUGGGCAUUACCUGACGCUGAGGAGCGAAAGUGUGGGGAGCGAACAGG
Molecule: ribosomal RNA, 253 nt
Filed under: uncultured bacterium
Lineage: Bacteria
Description: partial 16S ribosomal RNA
Rfam family: Bacterial small subunit ribosomal RNA
Source: RNAcentral